Molecule: ribosomal RNA, 489 nt
Filed under: uncultured bacterium
Lineage: Bacteria
Description: bacterial SSU rRNA
Rfam family: Bacterial small subunit ribosomal RNA
Source: RNAcentral
CCUGGCUCAGGAUGAACGCUGGCGGCGUGCUUAACACAUGCAAGUCGAGCGAAGCACUUAUGAAAGAUUCUUCGGAUGAUUUCAUUGUGACUGAGCGGCGGACGGGUGAGUAACGCGUGGGUAACCUGCCUCAUACAGGGGGAUAACAGUUGGAAACGACUGCUAAUACCGCAUAAGCGCACAGUACCGCAUGGUACAGUGUGAAAAACUCCGGUGGUAUGAGAUGGACCCGCGUCUGAUUAGCUAGUUGGUGGGGUAACGGCCUACCAAGGCGACGAUCAGUAGCCGACCUGAGAGGGUGACCGGCCACAUUGGGACUGAGACACGGCCCAAAACUCCUACGGGAGGCAGCAGUGGGGAAUAUUGCACAAUGGGGGAAACCCUGAUGCAGCAACGCCGCGUGAGUGAAGAAGUAUUUCGGUAUGUAAAGCUCUAUCAGCAGGGAAGAAAAUGACGGUACCUGACUAAGAAGCCCCGGCUAACUACGUG